UCGUAACAAGGUUUCCGUAGGUGAACCUGCGGAAGGAUCAUUAAAAAUAUCGCUUGAUUGAAAGUGAUUUAAUAAUCAUCCUACCCUUUGUGAAUUUGUUGUUUGAAUAAUUUUUUUUUGACGUGGAUUUAAAAAAAAAAUUAUUUAUGGUUUUGUCUAUCCCUAAAAUUGGUUUGUUUGUUGUAAAGACAAUGAAUCAAUUUAGGGAAUAGGCUUUCAUAAAUAAGUUUUUUUUAAAGUCUUAAAGACCUUUUUUAAAUUAAACUUUUGUAUUCAUUUUGUUCUAAAUUUUUUUUAAAUAAUUUAAAAAACAAACUUUUUGACAAUGGAUCUCUUGGUUCUCGCAACGAUGAAGAACGCAGGCAAAAUGCGAUAAGUAAUGUGAAUUGCAGAAUACGUGAAUCAUCAAAUCUUCGAACGCAUAUUGCACUUUUUUAGUUUACUAAAAAAGUAUGUCUGUUUGAAGUAUCAGUAAAAUAUUCUCAUAAAAACAUUUUUGCUUUUAUGGUUUGAGUGUUUUACAACGAUAAACAAGUUGUUUCACUUUAAAUUCAUUUUUAAUUUAAGACCAUUUUUUGGUUUUAAUAAUAAAAUUGGAUAAAAUUUUCCCGUAAAAAGGAAUAAACUUUUCAGUUUUUAAGUUAGAGAAAAUAUCGGUCCGAUUUUAAAAGGAAAUUUAUAAUUUAAAUAACUUGAUCUCAAAUCAGAUAAGAGUACCCGCUGAACUUAAGCAUAUCAAUAAGCGGAGGAAAAGAAACUAACAAGGAUUCCCUUAGUAACGGCGAGUGAAGCGGGAAGAGCUCAAAUUUGAAAUCUUCAAGGUUCUACCUUGACGAAUUGUAGUUUAAAGAAGUGUUUUCUGUUAGAUGAGUAGCAAAAGUUCCUUGGAAUGGGACAUCAUGAGAGGGUGAGAAUCCCAUAUUUGGUUAUUCAUUCUAGCUUUGUGAUACACUUUCAAAGAGUCGGAUUGUUUGGGAAUGCAGUCCAAAAUGGGUGGUAGAUUUCAUCUAAAGCUAAAUAUUGGCGAGAGACCGAUAGCGAACAAGUACCGUGAGGGAAAGAUGAAAAGAACUUUGAAAAGAGAGUUAAACAGUACGUGAAAUUGUCAAAAGGGAAGCGUUUGACACCAGUGUUGUUUUUCCAAAAUCAAUUACGAAUGGCUUGAUUUUGUGUUGUAUUGACCUUAUCAGCUUUCUGCACUUUUUUCGAGUCUUUCUUAAUGCACUUUUUGGUUAACAAGUCAACAUCAAUUUCUUUUGUUGUAAAAGAGUAUUCGGAGGUGGCUUUCUUUUCGGAGAAAGUGUUUAUAGCCCUAUACUUCUACAAUCGGAGAGAUUGAGGUCUGCAGCGUAGAUCCUUCGGGGUUAGAUACACUUGUGCUAAGUUGUAGCUUUUCAUAGACAACUUGUUGACUAUGUUUAGUCAUGCGGCUUACUCGCUUAUGCUAUUUUACUACGCUUAGGAUGUUGAC
This 1471-nucleotide unclassified non-coding RNA is filed under the name uncultured Neocallimastigales. RNAcentral's name for it is "partial contains small subunit ribosomal RNA, internal transcribed spacer 1, 5.8S ribosomal RNA, internal transcribed spacer 2, and large subunit ribosomal RNA". The stretch from base 694 to 1471 matches the Rfam family "Eukaryotic large subunit ribosomal RNA", at positions 1 to 630 of the family's 3401-position model. Lineage: Eukaryota; Fungi; Neocallimastigomycota; Neocallimastigomycetes; Neocallimastigales. The record is from RNAcentral.